Molecule: ribosomal RNA, 312 nt
Filed under: Bactrododema hecticum
Lineage: Eukaryota; Metazoa; Arthropoda; Insecta; Phasmatodea; Diapheromeridae
Description: partial 16S ribosomal RNA
Rfam family: Archaeal large subunit ribosomal RNA (bases 1-145)
Source: RNAcentral
UUAUUUAAUGGCCGCGGUAUUUUGACCGUGCAAAGGUAGCAUAAUCAUUAGUCUAUUAAAUGUGGACUUGUAUGAAUGGUUGGACGAGAUAUAUACUGUCUCAUUUAAAAUACAUAGAAUUUAAAUUUUGAGUUAAAAUGCUUAAGUUUUUUUAUUGGACGAGAAGACCCUAUAGAUCUUUAUUAUUUAUUUAUUUUUAUAAUUUANAUUAUUUUGUUUAAAUUAAAUAACUUAUUUUGUUGGGGUGACAUGGAGAUAUAAUUAACUCUUUAUUUUGUUUUACAAAGAUUUUUGGUUAUUUGACCUUUUAUU